This is a non-coding RNA of Vicia faba (fava bean), 234 nucleotides long. The record is from the annotation of a GenBank genome assembly. NCBI's taxonomy places the organism in Eukaryota, Viridiplantae, Streptophyta, Magnoliopsida, Fabales, Fabaceae.
AUGGAGGAAAUAAGUAAUAAUGUUUACAAAAGCAUUAAGCACAAAGUUGUUGCUGCUGAGGAAGAGAGGUUUUCUACUGCAUUUUUCUUUUGCCCCUUCAAUGAUGCAGUUAUACAAAGUGAAAACAAGCCAGCUCUCUAUAAGAGGUUCACUUUGAGAGAGUAUAGACAACAGACUCUGCAAGAUGUCAAUCAAACAGGUGAUAAAGUUGGCCUCUCUAGAUUUCUUCUAUAG